UACAGAGGCCCCGAGCGUUAAUCGGAAUCACUGGGCUUAAAGGGUGCGUAGGCGGGUCAGUAAGCGCUUUGUGAAAUCCCACAGCUCAACUGUGGAACCGCAGGGCGAACUGCUGACCUUGAGGAAGCUAGAGGCUGGUAGAACGAUAGGUGGAGCGGUGGAAUGCGUAGAGAUCUAUCGGAAUGCCGAAAGUGAAGACAGCCAGCUGGGGCUUUCCUGACGCUAAAGCACGAAAGCGUGGGGAGCAAACCGG
Molecule: ribosomal RNA, 253 nt
Filed under: uncultured bacterium
Lineage: Bacteria
Description: partial 16S ribosomal RNA
Rfam family: Bacterial small subunit ribosomal RNA
Source: RNAcentral